UAAUACGGAGGGCGCAAGCGUUGUUCGGAAUUAUUGGGCGUAAAGCGCGUGUAGGCGGCUUGGUAAGUCGGAUGUGAAAGUCCGGGGCUCAACCCCGGAAUUGCAUUCGAAACUGCCUCGCUAGAGUCUCGGAGAGGAGGGCGGAAUUCCCGGUGUAGAGGUGAAAUUCGUAGAUAUCGGGAGGAACACCAGUGGCGAAGGCGGCCCUCUGGACGAUGACUGACGCUCAGACGCGAAAGCGUGGGGAGCAAACAGGAUUAGAUACCCUGGUAGUCCACGCCGUAAACGUUGGGUGCUAGGUGUCGCGGGUAUUGACCCCUGCGGUGCCGGCGUUAACGCAUUUAGCACCCCGCCUGGGGAGUACGGUCGCAAGACUA
Molecule: ribosomal RNA, 377 nt
Filed under: uncultured delta proteobacterium
Lineage: Bacteria; Deltaproteobacteria
Description: bacterial SSU rRNA
Rfam family: Bacterial small subunit ribosomal RNA
Source: RNAcentral